AUUGAACGCUGGCGGCAUGCCUUACACAUGCAAGUCGAACGGCAGCACGGGUGCUUGCACCUGGUGGCGAGUGGCGAACGGGUGAGUAAUACAUCGGAACAUGUCCUGUAGUGGGGAAUAGCCCGGCGAAAGCCGGAUUAAUACCGCAUACGAUCUACGGAUGAAAGCGGGGGACCUUCGGGCCUCGCGCUAUAGGGUUGGCCGAUGGCUGAUUAGCUAGUUGGUGGGGUAAAGGCCUACCAAGGCGACGAUCAGUAGCUGGUCUGAGAGGACGACCAGCCACACUGGGACUGAGACACGGCCCAGACUCCUAUGGGAGGCAGCAGUGGGGAAUUUUGGACAAUGGGCGAAAGCCUGAUCCAGCAAUGCCGCGUGUGUGAAGAAGGCCUUCGGGUUGUAAAGCACUUUUGUCCGGAAAGAAAUCCUUGGCCCUAAUACGGUCGGGGGAUGACGGUACCGGAAGAAUAAGCACCGGCUAACUACGUG
Molecule: ribosomal RNA, 486 nt
Filed under: uncultured bacterium
Lineage: Bacteria
Description: partial 16S ribosomal RNA
Rfam family: Bacterial small subunit ribosomal RNA
Source: RNAcentral